RNAcentral lists this ribosomal RNA (537 nucleotides) under Acalles sp. 1 JJA-2010. Its description in RNAcentral is "partial 16S ribosomal RNA". It matches the Rfam family "Bacterial large subunit ribosomal RNA", at positions 1819 to 2625 of the family's 2925-position model. Lineage: Eukaryota; Metazoa; Arthropoda; Insecta; Coleoptera; Curculionidae. The record is from RNAcentral.
GUCCUUUUGAGUAUAAUUUAAGGUCGGGCCUGCCCAAUGAUUAAUUAAAUGGCCGCGGUAUACUAACCGUGCAAAGGUAGCAUAAUCAUUAGUUUUUUAAUUGAAAGCUUGUAUGAAGGGUUUAAUGAGAAAAAUACUGUCUCUAUUUAAAUUUAUUAGAAUUUUAUAUUUAAGUUAAAAAGCUUAAAUGAAUAUUGAAGACGAGAAGACCCUAUAGAGUUUAAUAUUUUGUUUAAUAAAAUGAUUAUUAGGAAUUUAAAAUAUUUAUUAAAUAAAAGUAUUUGAUUGGGGUGAUUAAAAAAUUAAUUAAACUUUUUUUUUAUUUUUACAUUGGUUAAUGAAUUAUUGAUCCUUUAUUUAAGAUUAGAAGAUAUAAUUACCUUAGGGAUAACAGCGUAAUUUUUUUUAGAGUUCUUAUCGAAAAAAAAGAUUGCGACCUCGAUGUUGGAUUAAAAUAAAUUGUUGGUGUAGAAGCUGAUAAAUUAGGUCUGUUCGACCUUUAAAUUUUUACAUGAUCUGAGUUUAAACCGGUGUAAG